UAAAGGUUUGGUCCUAGCCUUACUGUUAAUUAUAAUUAGACCUACACAUGCAAGUUUCCGCUGCCCGGUGAGAAUGCCCUCGACAUUAAAGCCAAAUUAACAGGAGCUGGUAUCAGGCACACUACCGGUUGCCCAUUACACCUUGCUUAACCACACCCCCACGGGCUACAGCAGUGACUAACAUUAAGCUAUAAACGAAAGUUUGACUAAAUCAUAAUUACUUAGGGUUGGUAAAUUUCGUGCCAGCCACCGCGGUCAUACGAUUAACCCAAAUUAACAGAAAGUCGGCGUAAAGCGUGUUUAAGCAUAUCCUACUUAAUUUUGCUGAAUACACGAUAGCUAAGAGACAAACUGGGAUUAGAUACAAUAAAGCUAAUAUCCAACUGAGCUGUAAUACGCUCCAGUUGAGAUUAAAAUACUCGACUAAAGUGGCUCCCACUAUGCUUAGCCCUAAACUUAGACAAUUAACCUAACAAAAUUGUUCGCCAGAGAACUACUAGCCAUCGCUUAAAACUCAAAGGACUUGGCGGUGCCCUAAACCCACCUAGAGGAGCCUGUUCUAUAAUCGAUAAACCCCGAUAAACCUCACCUCUUCUUGCCAAUACAGUCUAUAUACCGCCAUCGUCAGCCAACCCCAAUAGGGUAACAAAGUGAGCAUGAUCAUCAACCAUAAAAACGUUAGGUCAAGGUGUAGCAUAUGAAGAGGGAAGUAAUGGGCUACAUUUUCUAUACUAGAACAUCAACGAACUAUCUUAUGAAACCUAAGAUAUCUGAAGGAGGAUUUAGUAGUAAAUUAAGAAUAGAGAGCUUAAUUGAAAUAGGCAAUAGGGCGCGCACACACCGCCCGUCACCCUCCUCAACUAAAUAUCAAUAAUAACUAAUAAAAUGCUUACCAAAAGAGGAGAAAAGUCGUAACAUGGUAAGUGUACCGGAAGGUGCACUUGGAAAAUC
RNAcentral lists this ribosomal RNA (951 nucleotides) under Cercartetus lepidus. Its description in RNAcentral is "partial 12S ribosomal RNA". Lineage: Eukaryota; Metazoa; Chordata; Mammalia; Diprotodontia; Burramyidae. The record is from RNAcentral.